GAUCAUGGCUCAGGAUGAACGCUAGCUACAGGCUUAACACAUGCAAGUCGAGGGGAAACGACAUCGAAAGCUUGCUUUUGAUGGGCGUCGACCGGCGCACGGGUGAGUAACGCGUAUCCAACCUGCCCACCACUUGGGGAUAACCUUGCGAAAGUAAGACUAAUACCCAAUGACGUCUCUAGAAGACAUCUGAAAUGAAUUAAAGAUUUAUCGGUGAUGGAUGGGGAUGCGUCUGAUUAGCUUGUUGGCGGGGUAACGGCCCACCAAGGCUACGAUCAGUAGGGGUUCUGAGAGGAAGGUCCCCCACAUUGGAACUGAGACACGGUCCAAACUCCUACGGGAGGCAGCAGUGAGGAAUAUUGGUCAAUGGGCGAGAGCCUGAACCAGCCAAGUAGCGUGCAGGAUGACGGCCCUAUGGGUUGUAAACUGCUUUUAUAAGGGAAUAAAGUGGGGCUCGUGAGCUCCUUUGCAUGUACCUUAUGAAUAAGGACCGGCUAAUUCCGUG
Molecule: ribosomal RNA, 505 nt
Filed under: uncultured bacterium
Lineage: Bacteria
Description: bacterial SSU rRNA
Rfam family: Bacterial small subunit ribosomal RNA
Source: RNAcentral